UUGCCUUCGGGUAGGACUCGGUAAGGAUGAUUCAAUAUCAUCUGUUCUUAUCAGUUUAAUAUCUGAUACGUCCCCUAUCUGGGGACCAUAUAUUAAAUGGAUUUUUGGAACAGGGAGAUGGAAAAAGAGCUUGCUCUGUCCACUCCACGCAUCGACCUGGUAUUGCAGUACCUCCAGGACCGGUGCACCUCUC
Small nuclear RNA from Xenopus laevis (African clawed frog), 193 nucleotides. RefSeq annotates it as U2 spliceosomal RNA. Lineage: Eukaryota; Metazoa; Chordata; Amphibia; Anura; Pipidae. The transcript has a single exon. The record is from RefSeq and is a predicted model, not a curated record.